RNAcentral lists this ribosomal RNA (469 nucleotides) under fungal sp. UFMGCB 2608. RNAcentral's name for it is "eukaryotic LSU rRNA". The stretch from base 171 to 325 matches the Rfam family "5.8S ribosomal RNA". Lineage: Eukaryota; Fungi. The record is from RNAcentral.
CCUGCGGAAGGAUCAUUAAAAAUGAAGCCGGGAAACCGGUCCUUCUAACCCUUGAUUAUCUUAAUUUGUUGCUUUGGUGGGCCGCGCAAGCACCGGCUUCGGCUGGAUCGUGCCCGCCAGAGGACCACAACUCUGUAUCAAAUGUCGUCUGAGUACUAUAUAAUAGUUAAAACUUUCAACAACGGAUCUCUUGGUUCUGGCAUCGAUGAAGAACGCAGCGAAAUGCGAUAAGUAAUGUGAAUUGCAGAAUUCAGUGAAUCAUCGAAUCUUUGAACGCACAUUGCGCCCUCUGGUAUUCCGGAGGGCAUGCCUGUUUCGAGCGUCAUAAUGACCAAAUCACCCUUGUGGUGGACUUGGAGUUGGCCUGUACUGGCCUCUCUUAAAAUCAGUGGCGGUGCUCUUAAAGCUCUACGCGUAGUAAUUUUUCUCGCUAUAGGGUCUUGAUUGUACUUGCCAACACCCCACUAUA